CACCAGUGGCACCCAUGGGACCGUCGUGGCCACAGGAGCUGACCACAAUCUUAGCCUCCAUAACAUUGGGGUCCAUGCAAGAUUGUGUGUCGUGGUUCUGAGAAACCAAAGACCAGUUAGUGACAACACCACCAACUCUUCCGUUCUUCACAAUAAGGUCCUCUGUUGCAACAGCAUUGAAGAGCUUCACGUUUGGCCUGGCCAAAAGCUUGCUCAUGAUGGUUGAGGUGAACAAGGCAGCGUGCUUGAUGACCACGUAGUUGUCUUGCUCGUCAUAGUCUAUGCCUAGCUCGUUCAGGAAAAGAUGUGCCGGCUUCCUCACAACCAUGGCUGAGAAGAGUUGUCCACCUAGCCAGGCACCUCCACCAGGGCUCACUGAUUGCUCAAGUAUGGCCACCUACACAAACCAAGUAAAUUCACAUAAACAACUUAUAACAAGUACAAAUUGGAGAAAAUAGGUAUUGUAAUCAGCAACUAUAAUCUAAUCAAGAACACUUAGCAGUUAGAACAUUGAAUGACUUCCCUGUGAUCAUGAAUGCGUGUACCAGCCAGAGGCAGAUCUAGGAUAAAUUAGGUGUGCUCAAUUAAAUUCAUUGCUAUUUAUAUAUAUAUAUGAUAACCGGGGUGGAGUUUCAAGCCAAACGCCGAACCCAAUAGCUUUUGUUCAAACAGUGUAUUUGAAGUUUAAAAUUCAUCAAAUAUAUGUACAAAUAUUAAAUUUAGAAUCUAGUCGCUAACAUGUGAAGUCGUGUACUAAAAUCCAAAACCCAUAAGAUUGUAAUUAUUGUUCUACCUAUGUAUGCAAACCAAUUUUGAACUUACUUAACUCUAGAUCAUAAAUUGAGGAUAAGAUUAUCACAAAAGCAGUUUCACUGGUUCACAAGUAUAUAAACAACUUUUUUUUUUUAGCAGAGAAAGAGUAUUAUCUUAUUUAAACCAUAGUCUUAAGAUUAAACAUAAACUGGUAGAAGCAGAACCAAUACCAAUUACAGCACAACCCUAGAACUAGACCCACAGUAAGCAAGCAGUAACUGAUAGAUUAAAAUUAAAAACAAAGCCAAAAACGGCGACUUAAAUAUAGAUAAACUAGAUCAUCAUCAACGUCCUCACAUCUAGCAGAGUUGACCACAGUCAGCAAUCACAACAGGCUUGGAGCACCUGCCAGAUCCAGAUCCAACAGCCUCAGCCUUCUUAAUCACAUCAUAGCCUUCAACAACUUGACCGAACACAACAUGCUUGCCAUCGAGCCACUCAGUCUUAGCGGUGCAGAUAUAUAUAAACAACUUUCGCUAAUAAACAUGUGAUUUUUUCUCGCUCAAGUUGCACGAGGCCUAAGGAAAAAGGUGUCACAUGAUUUGUAGGUACGAGUAAACCUUCAAGUACCUUUAAUAAGAAGCCCGUGUUUUUUUUUCCUCUCAGCUACCAAGUCUUAUAUGAAUUUUCUUUUAUACUUUUCAAUUUAGUAGAAAUACAAGCGAAGCCGGAAAAUAAAUUCCAAGAUUUCCAUCUUUCCGCUAUUAGAAUUUAAUUGAAAAUAUCCAUUAGGCACACGUCACAGGUGCCAGUUCUUCUACACAACAAAAGCCUGAGUAUUUAAAUGAAAAAUUAUAGGGAAAGCUAAUCUGGGGCUAAAUGGUUUUGUGAGUCUUUACAAAUUUGUUUUUCAAUUUUAUGACCUUAUCUUUCUAUUUCAGUACGAGGUCUAAAAAAGAUACUUUCUUAACGUAAAGGGCUAUGAUAGCCCAUUUUCCCGCUGAUUUGAACCGUAUGUCACUUCUGUUAGUAUUUCCUUACCAUAAAAUAUUUUAAACUUAAUUGACAAAAUAAACACAAGCCAAUAUUUGAUCUUUCGUGACUUUUGUCUUUUUCUAUCACAAUACUGCCAGACACAUAUAUUAGAGCAUUCUGCAGCAGGCCUAGAUUUAUCUCAUCUUAAAUUUGGAAAAAAAUAAAUAGACACAAAUGAAAAGAAAAAGGAUACCUGAACGUUAGGGUUCUUGCUGAUCUCAUAAGCACAAGAGAGACCAGCAGAGCCAGCGCCAACGAUGACAACAUCAGUGUCAGCAUAGGUGAUCAUGUCAGUCAUGUACCUACGUGUCAUCUCGCGAGAAACGAUGGAUUCCUUAAUUGGGUUAAAACUGAAAGCGUUAAGAUCAUAAGGUGGAGGAGAGGAAUCAGCAGACAUGGAAAUGGUCAUGUUUUGCUGGGCGGAUUUAACAGGUUUUAGUCUAGCUUGUGAAAAAAGAGGGACACCAGAGAAGGAUGAUUUGUGGGUGUCCAAGAAAUUGGUCUUGGUAACAACAGAGGAGGCCAAGGUUGAUGCCAUGGUUGCCAUAGACAAAGCUUGAGAUCUUGAGAGAGGAGUUUUUUUUGAGAAUUAGAAGAAU
RNAcentral lists this long non-coding RNA (2387 nucleotides) under Nicotiana tabacum (common tobacco). Its description in RNAcentral is "long non-coding RNA (NTAB_LNC003870)". The record is from RNAcentral. Lineage: Eukaryota; Viridiplantae; Streptophyta; Magnoliopsida; Solanales; Solanaceae.